UACGAAGGGGGCUAGCGUUGCUCGGAAUCACUGGGCGUAAAGGGUGCGUAGGCGGGUCUUUAAGUCGGGGGUGAAAGCCCAGGGCUCAACCCUGGAAUUGCCUUCGAUACUGGAUAUCUAGAGUAUGGGAGAGGUGUGUGGAACUCCGAGUGUAGAGGUGAAAAUUCGUAGAUAUUCGGAAGAACACCAGUGGCGAAGGCGACACACUGGCCCAUUACUAGAC
This 223-nucleotide ribosomal RNA is filed under the name uncultured bacterium. Its description in RNAcentral is "partial 16S ribosomal RNA". It matches the Rfam family "Bacterial small subunit ribosomal RNA", at positions 524 to 744 of the family's 1533-position model. The record is from RNAcentral.